CCGCUGACGAGCGGCGGACGGGUGAGUAAUGCAUAGGAAACUGCCCAGUAGUGGGGGAUAGCCCGGGGAAACCCGGAUUAAUACCGCAUACGCCCUUUGGGGGAAAGCAGGGGAUCUUCGGACCUUGCGCUAUUGGAUGUGCCUAUGUCGGAUUAGCUAGUUGGUGGGGUAAGAGCCUACCAAGGCGACGAUCCGUAGCUGGUCUGAGAGGAUGAUCAGCCACAUCGGGACUGAGACACGGCCCGAACUCCUACGGGAGGCAGCAGUGGGGAAUAUUGGACAAUGGGGGCAACCCUGAUCCAGCCAUGCCGCGUGUGUGAAGAAGGCUUUCGGGUUGUAAAGCACUUUCAGUGAGGAGGAAAACCUUACGACUAAUACUCGUGAGGCUUGACGUUACUCACAGAAGAAGCACCGGCUAACUCCGUGCCAGCAGCCGCGGUAAUACGGAGGGUGCAAGCGUUAAUCGGAAUUACUGGGCGUAAAGCGCGCGUAGGUGGUUUGAUAAGCGAGAUGUGAAAGCCCCGGGCUCAACCUGGGAACGGCAUUUCGAACUGUCAGGCUAGAGUAUGGUAGAGGAGUGUGGAAUUUCCUGUGUAGCG
RNAcentral lists this ribosomal RNA (599 nucleotides) under Marinobacter algicola. RNAcentral's name for it is "bacterial SSU rRNA". It matches the Rfam family "Bacterial small subunit ribosomal RNA", at positions 85 to 680 of the family's 1533-position model. The record is from RNAcentral. Lineage: Bacteria; Pseudomonadati; Pseudomonadota; Gammaproteobacteria; Pseudomonadales; Marinobacteraceae.